GUCUACAGCCAUGCCACCCUGAACAAGCCUGAUUCCAUCUGAUUUCGGAAGCUAAGCAGGAUUGGGCCUGGUAGUACUUGGAUGGGAGACCACCUAGGAAGACCAGGUGCUGUAGGCA
Molecule: ribosomal RNA, 118 nt
Filed under: Pteropus alecto (black flying fox)
Lineage: Eukaryota; Metazoa; Chordata; Mammalia; Chiroptera; Pteropodidae
Source: RNAcentral